AACGAACGCUGGCGGCAUGCCUAACACAUGCAAGUCGAACGAGACCUUCGGGUCUAGUGGCGCACGGGUGCGUAACGCGUGGGAACCUGCCCUUAGGUUCGGAAUAACUCCCCGAAAGGGGUGCUAAUACCGGAUAAUGUCUUCGGACCAAAGAUUUAUCGCCUUUGGAUGGGCCCGCGUUGGAUUAGCUAGUUGGUAGGGAAAAAGCCUACCAAGGCGACGAUCCAUAGCUGGUCUGAGAGGAUGAUCAGCCACACUGGGACUGAGACACGGCCCAGACUCCUACGGGAGGCAGCAGUGGGGAAUAUUGGACAAUGGGCGAAAGCCUGAUCCAGCAAUGCCGCGUGAGUGAUGAAGGCCUUAGGGUUGUAAAGCUCUUUUACCCGGGAUGAUAAUGACAGUACCGGGAGAAUAAGCUCCGGCUAACUCCGUG
RNAcentral lists this ribosomal RNA (433 nucleotides) under uncultured bacterium. Its description in RNAcentral is "partial 16S ribosomal RNA". It matches the Rfam family "Bacterial small subunit ribosomal RNA", at positions 29 to 507 of the family's 1533-position model. The record is from RNAcentral.